UCAGGUCCUGGGCAUGCUGGCCCGGCUGGCCCCAGUCUCCUCUGCCAGGCCACCAGAUGGGCAGUCUGACUGGCCGGGUGACCCGGGCCGGGACCCUCCCCUCCCUGGGCCUCCCUCGCCUCUACCUGCUCCUCCUACUUGGCAGGGCUGUUGGGGUGUUCUAGAAGCCCCUGGACACCCCAGAAAUGGGAGGGAGCACUUUGAGUAUUCUUUUUACAAAAGGGGAAACUGAGGGCAAGAGCAGGGAAGGGUUACUCCCGUUUAGGAGAGGAGAGGGCUGAGGCCCGGGAGGGGCAGCACUGUCUCCCCCCCAGCCCUGGGUGAGAGAGGGCCAGAAUCACGGGCUCCACCGUACAGUGCAGUAAGCAGAGACACGGGCAGACUGAACGAGCUGUCCAAGGUUACUCCCAGGGACACUUUGUUGCAAAAGCUGGGAUCUGCCCCGGGGGCCCCGCGGUGAGCCCUCCCCUGGGGCGUGGGGGGCACGGCAAGGCCAGGGCUGGUGCCCGCGGAGACGAGGGCUUGGCCGCACUGAGAUCGCCCUCCCAAGCGGCGUCGGGCAGAGAAGAGGAGUCGCGAAGGGACUGCGGCCAGCCAGGGCACUCACCUACCCUGCGGGGCUCAGCCGGGGGGCCUCGUCAUGGCCGGCUCCAGGCCCCUCUCGGCUGCCCGGCUGGAUGUCCGCAGGGCUUGUCGGCCGGGUCUCUGUUCUGGAAAAGCCAUUUUUGGGGAAGUCCAAGGCUCUCAGGAUCCUCCUGGCACUGUAUCUUCCUUCCUCACCUUGGAUUUCAGGGCUGGAAACGGCAAGGAAAACCAGAGGCUGACAGUUCACAUAUCCUUAAAUAUACAGUAAGUGCUUUCCUCACUCUUCCGAAAAUCCCCAGCCUCAGAUCUUCACUAGCCUCCAGGGCUUUCCCCUUUAUUCCCCCACCUGAUAUUAUUCAAUGGUAGCACUUGGGUUUGCAGGCCUCCGGC
RNAcentral lists this long non-coding RNA (975 nucleotides) under Phascolarctos cinereus (koala). RNAcentral's name for it is "lncRNA (ENSPCIG00000033158.1)". Lineage: Eukaryota; Metazoa; Chordata; Mammalia; Diprotodontia; Phascolarctidae. The record is from RNAcentral.